UCUCUAAAAUGGAUUCUCAAAACUCAACAAGUUCCUUUUAAACUUGGAGGAGAACAUUUUGACUGAUUUAAAACUCAACAAGUUCUUCUUAGACUUGGAUGAGAACAUUGCAUUCUCUAUGAUUAACGUCGUGCCUUUGGGCAAAGUUACAAUUGCUCUUCCGGAGCCUUCAAACAAUUUACUACUUCCAGAGAUUGUAGUAACGUUUGCCUUACACAUAU
Molecule: long non-coding RNA, 221 nt
Filed under: Nicotiana benthamiana
Lineage: Eukaryota; Viridiplantae; Streptophyta; Magnoliopsida; Solanales; Solanaceae
Description: long non-coding RNA (NBEN_LNC014962)
Source: RNAcentral